Long non-coding RNA from Catharus ustulatus (Swainson's thrush), 338 nucleotides. RefSeq lists it as uncharacterized. The transcript has 2 exons. The record is from RefSeq and is a predicted model, not a curated record. NCBI's taxonomy places the organism in Eukaryota, Metazoa, Chordata, Aves, Passeriformes, Turdidae.
GAGCAAGCCAUGGCUGGCAGGGGGGAUCAAAGCAUUGAAAAGAAACCCCAGUUGUGUUUGGCCGCAGGACCUUGGCCAGGCUCUGCUUUGGACACCACAUUUCUCAGCAUUUCUCUUCAGGUCACAGAGCUGUCAAAGCAGCAUGGUGACAUCUUAAUAUGCUGAAAAGCACAGAGGUGCUGCCAAUGUCUCCCCUUCACUCCAGCCCUCUGACACAUCUUUAUUGGCUCAAAAACAGAAAUUAGUCUUUCCUCUCCUGGGAGCAAGGCUAAUCCUUAUGAGCCACUUGGCUCUCUCCAGCUCACUAUAGCUGUAUGAAAUAUAUAUAUUUGUAUACA